GAUCAUGGCUCAGGAUGAACGCUAGCGGCAGGCUUAACACAUGCAAGUCGAGGGGCGAGCAUUUGGGUAGCAAUACCUGAGAUGGCGACCGGCGCACGGGUGCGUAACGCGUAUGCAACCUACCCAUAACAGGGGCAUAACACUGAGAAAUCGGUACUAAUUCCCCAUAACAUUCGAAGAGGCAUCUUUUCGGGUUGAAAACUCCGGUGGUUAUGGAUGGGCAUGCGUUGUAUUAGCUGG
RNAcentral lists this ribosomal RNA (240 nucleotides) under uncultured bacterium. RNAcentral's name for it is "partial 16S ribosomal RNA". It matches the Rfam family "Bacterial small subunit ribosomal RNA", at positions 15 to 248 of the family's 1533-position model. The record is from RNAcentral.